This 429-nucleotide ribosomal RNA is filed under the name Bacteroidota bacterium. RNAcentral's name for it is "Bacteroidetes bacterium partial 16S ribosomal RNA". It matches the Rfam family "Bacterial small subunit ribosomal RNA", at positions 355 to 776 of the family's 1533-position model. The record is from RNAcentral. Lineage: Bacteria; Pseudomonadati; Bacteroidota.
UAGGGAAUCUUCGGCAAUGGGGGGAACCCUGACCGAGCAACGCCGCGUGAGUGAAGAAGGUUUUCGGAUCGUAAAGCUCUGUUGUUAAGGAAGAACGAGUGUGAGAAUGGAAAGUUCAUGCUGUGACGGUACUUAACCAGAAAGGGACGGCUAACUACGUGCCAGCAGCCGCGGUAAUACGUAGGUCCCGAGCGUUGUCCGGAUUUAUUGGGCGUAAAGCGAGCGCAGGCGGUUAGAAAAGUCUGAAGUUAAAGGCAGUGGCUCAACCAUUGUAGGCUUUGGAAACUGUUUAACUUGAGUGCAGAAGGGGAGAGUGGAAUUCCAUGUGUAACGGUGAAAUGCGUAGAUAUAUGGAGGAACACCGGUGGCGAAAGCGGCUCUCUGGUCUGUAACUGACGCUGAGGCUCGAAAGCGUGGGGAGCGAACAGG